This 4912-nucleotide long non-coding RNA is filed under the name Zea mays. Its description in RNAcentral is "long non-coding RNA (ZMAY_LNC002968)". Lineage: Eukaryota; Viridiplantae; Streptophyta; Magnoliopsida; Poales; Poaceae. The record is from RNAcentral.
UAACAGGAGUUCUAUACAAAAUAAUUAAGUAAUUACAUUAUAAGGAGACAACGGUCCAGCAACCCAAAGUUGACUGGGAGACGACGACCUAGACCUCUCACGAACUCGCACAGCAUCCUUCAAGCGCCUCGUCCUGUGGUACCUGUUCUUGACCUGUGGGGGGGUGUGAGACAGCAAGAGUGAGCUCACAUACGUUCAUCGCUCAACAAGUUGUGGGGAAUAAUGUGCAUGAACUCGCCAAAGGUGGGAGCUCACGUGAAGUGUAAGGCUUACCAACGGAGAUGGUUGAAGCUGAGCAUUGCUUUUAAAGUUGGUCAAAAUUUUAUUAGCAAUUACUAAGUAUAAGUAAAUACCAACCCAAUUAAGUAGUAGAACAGAAGUAACAUCAUCACCUGCGAUGCAAUGCAUAUGACAAAAUUGAAUUUAAGUUCCAUAAAUUAAUCAUCAGAGAGUCCUGAGCUGCUCAUGACCGUGAACUCGGCUAGUAUACCAGUUUUACACUCUGCAGAGGUGGUACCCUUUACCCACAAGUCAUGUUACCCAUCUGCCAAGGGAUCGCGACUUCCCAUACACCUCUACCGAGGAGGCGAGGCAGGGUAACAUUACGAGGCCUUUACAAAGUUCCACUAGCUUCAGAAAACCCGCUACAGUUUAUAGGAAGCUCCAAUGCAGGAAUCCCUUGCAGGACCGCCAUCGCAGCAAAAUCCUCCCGAGGGCCUCCCUACACUGACCACUCCCCUACUGCCCUUGCCCCUUUCGGGUAAGGUAGUCCUCCGCUAGCUUUCCUAAUUAAUCAGCCAAGGGCGUCCAUAAACCCUUGUGGUGGCACGUGUUUCUCAAGUUAAGCUCUAUGUUCCAAUUAACAUUUAAUGAUCUUGUCAUGAACAUAAAUAGAAUAACAACAUAAUUGGAACAUAGAUGUAAUGAAAUAUUAACCCAAAACCAUAUAAAGCAGUAGCAGAACUACCCAAGUGAUUCAGGGGUAAACAAGGUAUUCAGGAUGAACAAACUAGGGUGACCUAUUGGGUCCCAUCAAAAUUAACCUAUGCAGAUCAUUAUGAUUAAUCAGAACAUGAGUAGGUAAAAAGAAGUGAUCAAGGGCACAACUUGCCUGGGACUUGAGAUUCCAGGUACCAACUUGCUUUUCAGAUGACUCGUGUCCUCACUGCUAAACGUAGCAAUACAAACAAAUAGUGUACAGGCAAAAUUAACAUCACACCAAACAUAAGAACAAAAUACAUGUUAAUAAUCUACAUAUUAAAAUAAGAUUCUAGGAAGAGGAAUCAUUAAUUUUGGAGUUAUAGAUUUUAAGAUAUGAAUUUCUAAAGGUUUUAUGUGGUUGAAAUAUGAUUAAGUGGGAAAUUAAAUUUCUUAGUGUUGUCAUGAUAAAACAGAGACUCUAAGUGAUAUAUAAUAAAAUUAUAAAAUUUUAGAAAGUAGAAUGGAUUAAUUUGGAGCAAGUAUGAAUUUUCUAUGAAUUUUAUAAGUUCUAGUACUUAUUUUCAUAUUAAAAAUCCAUUUUCUAUUUCUUUUAUUCAAAUUAAAUGGGUUCUGGACUGGGCCUCAUUUACAAGAAAGGUCAGGGGUCUCUAAGUGAAAGUUCUUAAGACACAGGGCGCCCCACAUGUGGACGGCGGGUUGGUUUCUUAGUUUCCCGAGGACUCUUUAGCAAAAUACGCAAGCCGAAGGGGUAUCUGCUGACUUCAGACGCACGAUCUCACACCUACGGCCUAGAUUAGAUCUACAUUUAUUAAACCGGUACGCUACGAGGACCACCAGAUGUUGAUCCAACAGUGGAGAUCACAUCCAUACCCGGAGUCAUCCGAUCGCUGAUCAACGCUCUAGAUCGACCCAACACGAAACAUUACGCAGGUUUUAAUCUCAGCCGUAGAUCGCCGGAUGGACGCUCCACGGCCGUCUUCCACCUCCCUGCCCCGCCAGAGCACGGCGGCGCGAAUACUGGGAGUUGCGUGCCUGGUUUAGCCGACCGCCCAGCGCUCCCACGGCGGACGCAACCAGGUGCCGCGCGUGAGGAAGAGCCGCACAGGCGCUCAUAUUCUCUCACCUCGCAAGCCAGGAAGGGUGCUCACCAGCUGCUGUGACGGAGCGCGCUCCACGGUGAUGCUGAUCCGCGACGGGGCCGACUGGUGAUCCAGGUGUAAACGACGCCGGCCGCAGGGAACAGGAACGCACGGCCCGAGGGUCCGCCACGUGAUGGGGGCACCGAGGAUCCUUGAUGCCAAGGCACCCAGGUGUUCCCGCCGCCGCACCCGUAGCUCUCUAACCGAGUGCGUUUAUGGUGGAUAUGGCGAUUGUAGCGCAGGUUCUCUCUCCCUAAGACGCUCGGGUUCCAUGUUCGUCAUUGGCACAGGCAAGGGGAGAGACGAUAGCACUGGUUUAUAUACACGCGACAAGGGAAUCCCAGGGCCAACUACUGCGCGCGGAUUCCGCGGAUCUUGUUGCCAGCAGUGAGUCCGAUUUGAGGAAGAAGACGACUGACGAGGUGGACCCACCGGUCAGUGGCGCAGUGUCAUGGCGUGGGCUGAGUGGGGGGGAGUGAGGAUGGGCCACGAAGUGAAAUAAGGGAAAUGGGCUGCCCAGGCGGGGGAGUAGAAGGGAAGGAGGGGGUUGGCAGGAUGGGCCGGUGCGCGGAUUUGGCCCAAACCGCAGACAGGUAAGUCUUUUAUCCUUUUCUAAUUUCUGAUUCAAAUUAAGAUUAAAUUCCAAAUUCAAAACAAAGUGCUCACUUCAAAAUUCCAGCAUGAAGUGCAAGUAUAUUUUUUUUGAAUGUGUAGUAAAAAAACUAUCUAUAAUUUCAAUACUUUUAGUUUAGGAGAAAACAUAAAAUCUCCACCAUAACUUAUCUCUUGAUUCAAAUAUUUUCUUCAAGGAGUGUGUUAAUUUUAAAGUUAUAAUAAAUAUGUUGAAGGUGUUUCUUUUACUUAUUGUUCCAUAGUUUCAACUUGAACUUUAGUUUCAAGAUUUGGAUCUAAGUGUUAAACUACCAAGCUUUUGACAUUACUAUUUAUUUACUUUAGGGGGAUAUACUUAGUAAAGGGUUCUAUGACUUUCUCCAUCUUUUUGGAGAAACACAUAUGAAUCUUAAACUAGAAUUUUGGGUGUUACAAAUCCUACCCCCCUUAAAAAUAAUCUCGUCCUCGAGAUUUGCAAGAAAGGGGAUACAAGUCUAUCUUGUAGUCUAGAUUUCAUUUUCUAAUUAGUUCUAGUACGAAAAGUUUUUUUUUAUAGUCUAUAUCAAAUUAUCAGGUGAUUAGGAAGGCAUAUGUAUGGCCACCUUAUUAUGUAGGAUAAAAGAUGUCCUAGAAAUAUGAGUAGGUGUUGGUAAGAAAGAGUAGGGUAAGGGAAAGACUCCGUCAUGCAUAGCGAAUCUUGAGUCCUUUGGCGCUCCAACUUGAUCUUUGAAGACUUGAGUUGAUGCUUAUCCUCCUUUGACAUGGUUGGUCUUCUUUGGCCUUCAUCCUUAGAGUUUCCAUCCGUGUUAUGGACGUAUGGUUAAGAUAGUUGUCGGGUGCUUGGGCUGGGUAGGCCCAACAAGGUUUACUUUGCUUUUGGGAUAAAUGGGUUGGGCAACCUAUAACAUAGGCUAGGUUGUGGUGGUUCCACAGACGAGUUGGUCUAAGACACCAAUUUAGGUUUAGGUGAAUUAGGAGUAUGGCCCUAUUCCUUGUACCAGCAUUAAGUAACUCACUCUAGAUUAGAUCAUACUAGAUUAGAUAAAGUCUAGAUUAGGUUGGUAUGACUAGAUCAAACUAGUUUAAGUUAUAAAGAUUUACUAGGGUAGGAUAAAUAUCAUUAGGAUAUGUUAGAAUCUUUUGAGAUAAGAUGGAUCUAUUAAGAUAAGAGAGAAUCUUGUAGAUAAGAUGGAUAUAUUAAACUAAAUAUAUUUUAAUGGGGGUAUUCUUAGUUUGUAUAGUCAUCUUAUGUUUUUUUAUAUAUAUAUUUAUGCCUAUACGUAUAUGUAGAUGUAAUUGUGGACAUUACUCCACAACCAUCACACUCAAUCAAAGAUCCAAAUCAGGCAAGUAUCAUAAGAACAAACAUUCAAGUUCAUAUACAUCUAUAUAAUAAAAUAGUUUUGUUUUUGUUCCUAAGAUUAGGUGUCCUAUUCCUAAAAGUCACUUUAGGCACAGGAUUUCAAAGUGUGAAAUCCACAUUUGUCUUUAGAAGAAAAAAGGUAAGAAUAAUCAGAGUAAGCGGAAAUAGAUGAGAAAAGAUUAAGAAAAGUUUAGAAAUAAUCAGAGUAGCAAGGUUAAGUAGAUAACGGUUGUCCAGUUCUUGUCUAGGUUUCGUCCUACAGUCAACAUUCCUCUGAUACCACUUCUGUCACACCCGGAUUUUAGGGGUCCAGAACCCGGGCGCGAACAUAAUCACCAGGUGUGCUGGGACCAAGUCUCACACAUAUGAUGAAUCAUGGCACAGGAUCGAAUGUCACAUCUUUACUACAUAACAGGAGUUCUAUACAAAAUAAUUAAGUAAUUACAUUAUAAGGAGACAACGGUCCAGCAACACAAAGUUGACUGGGAGAUGACGACCUAGACCUCUCACGAACUCGCACAGCAUCCUUCAAGCGCCUCGUCCUGUGGUACAUGUUCUUGACCUGUGGGGGGGGUGUGAGACAGCAAGAGUGAGCUCACAUACGUUCAUCGCUCAACAAGUUGUGGGGAAUAAUGUGCAUGAACUCGCCAAAGGUGGGAGCUCACGUGAAGUGUAAGGCUUACCAACGGAGAUGGUUGAAGCUGAGCAUUGCUUUUAAAGUUGGUCAAAAUUUUAUUAGCAAUUACUAAGUAUAAGUAAAUACCAACCCAAUUAAGUAGUAGAACAGAAGUAACAUCAUCACCUGCGAUGCAAUGCAUAUGACAAAAUUGAAUUUAAGUUCCAUAAAUUAAUCAUC